CUGCCAGAAAACUAUAGAUCGGAGCUACUUCGCGCCCGUUUUUCCGGCCAACUCCGAGUUCCGUUUCCGUCGAUUCCUUCGCCAGUGCGUAGCCCUUCGUGUUGUCUAUCGUACACCGUCGAUUCCGCGAAACCCGUCAUAACACUGUGCAACCACCCCGAUGACCCCCCUUACGGUCCACGAUAUACCCAAGGCAAGAUCCUACUUGCUCAGAUCUGAAUUUUGUAUUUAUUAAGAAUUAUCUGUAAUUUUAUAUCUGUUAAUAAUUAUCUAUAUGAGAUUGUUUGA
Long non-coding RNA from Asparagus officinalis (garden asparagus), 288 nucleotides. RefSeq lists it as uncharacterized. The transcript has 2 exons. The record is from RefSeq and is a predicted model, not a curated record. NCBI's taxonomy places the organism in Eukaryota, Viridiplantae, Streptophyta, Magnoliopsida, Asparagales, Asparagaceae.